This is a long non-coding RNA of Lethenteron reissneri (Far Eastern brook lamprey), 694 nucleotides long. RefSeq lists it as uncharacterized. NCBI's taxonomy places the organism in Eukaryota, Metazoa, Chordata, Hyperoartia, Petromyzontiformes, Petromyzontidae. The record is from RefSeq and is a predicted model, not a curated record.
GGCACCCGUACCCAGCGUCAGCCGGGUGGGAAAAUCAGGCGAGGCAGGAGGCUCUGCACGGUGCUAGGCCUCGACACCCACCACGUGAAUCUAAGGUGCUCGCUGACAGCACCUGCCCCAACAGUCUGUGAAGGCUAUACGGGGGAUAUUUUGUCUUUGGUGCAAGGGAGUGCCGUGUGUCAAACAGAAAUCUUCAAAAGUCAUAUAGCACUGCUGCUGCAUGAGAGAGCGACGUGACUAGCGUCCUGAUGACCGCCGUGGCUGCUGCUGCUGUCGUCGUCGUAUCAUGAGGGUUGAAUACAAAGGUGAAGACCACAGACUCAGUGUGCACAGAAGGGAGAGAUUGUUCUCACGGAAGGAAGAUAUUGUUCUCGAAUAACUUACGUUGAGGCUCUAUAAACCGAGGCACGUUGUGAGCAAUGCAGACAAACCACUGCACUACGCCCCCACCGUCUAUGCUCCCCGCCUACACUUACCCGCAUUGACCAGUGUGGUGAAGUAUGGUCAAAUAACUCCCAAUUUCUGUUCUUAGGUUUUUUCGGUAAAGUCACGUAGGUAAAACAUUAAAAUUAAUAAAAGUAAAAUAAAAUAAAUAUCACGACGUUUCGGAGGCAACACAAGCUUCCGUCUUCAGGUGGAACCAGGUGGAACCGUCACAGCCACGACAGCUGUAUCAAAAAAAUGAGAGAUUGCA